This 497-nucleotide ribosomal RNA is filed under the name uncultured bacterium. Its description in RNAcentral is "partial 16S ribosomal RNA". It matches the Rfam family "Bacterial small subunit ribosomal RNA", at positions 28 to 507 of the family's 1533-position model. The record is from RNAcentral.
GAUGAACGCUGGCGGCGUGCCUAGUACAUGCAAGUCGAGCGAACAGACGAGGAGCUUGCUCCUCUGACGUUAGCGGCGGACGGGUGAGUAACGCGUGGAUAACCUACCUAUAAGACUGGGAUAACUUCGGGAAACCGGAGCUAAUACCGGAUAAUAUAUUGAACCGCAUGGUUCAAUAGUGAAAGACGGUUUUGCUGUCACUUAUAGAUGGAUCCGCGCCGCAUUAGCUAGUUGGUAAGGUAACGGCUUACCAAGGCAACGAUGCGUAGCCGACCUGAGAGGGUGAUCGGCCACACUGGAACUGAGACACGGUCCAGACUCCUACGGGAGGCAGCAGUAGGGAAUCUUCCGCAAUGGGCGAAAGCUUGACGGAGCAACGCCGCGUGAGUGAUGAAGGUCUUCGGAUCGUAAAGCUCUGUUAUUAGGGAAGAACAAAUGUGUAUGUAACUAUGCACGUCUUGACGGUACCUAAUCAGAAAGCCACGGCUAACUACGUG